GCAAUGAUUUACUUGUUAUACUUCGAAUAACACAUACUUGUGCCUGGCUGUGCUGGAUGGUAUACUCUGUGUCAUUUUCCUUCAUGGGAGAAACAGCCCACAGAGCUCACCAACAAGUACUCCUAAACUGAGUUAGAGUUUAAGCUUUGAGAUGCAGCCAGAUGAGCUAAUAGAAAAGCUCAUGUCACCUAUGCAGUAUGCAUGAUGCAUCUGGGCACAGCAGAGAUGAAUCGAAAACUCAUUGCUGUAGGUGGUUAUAACAGAGAGGAAUGUCUUCGAACAGUUGAAUGCCAUGAUCCAUAUACAGAUCAUUGGUCCUUUCUUGCUCCCAUGAGAAUACCAAGAGCUCGAUUUCAAAUGGCUGAACUAAUGGGCCAGCUCUAUGUGGUAGGUGGGUCAAACGGCCACUCAGAUGAUCUGAGUUGUGGAGAGAUGCAUGAUCCAAACAUAGAUGACUGGAUUCCUGUUCCAGAAUUGAGAACUAACCAUUGUAAUACAGACAUGUGUGCCCUGAAUGGAAAAUUAUAUAUUAUUGGUGGCUCUGAUCCAUAUGGUCAAAAAGGACUGAAAAACUGUGAUGUGUUUGAUCCUAUAACAAAGUCAUGGACAAGCUGUGUUCCUCUUAACAUACAAAGACAUCAAUCUGCAGUCUGUGAGCUUGGUGGUUAUUUGUACAUAAUUGGAGGUGCAGUGUCUUGGAACUGCUUGAACACAGUAGAACGUUACAAUCCUGAAAAUAACACCUGGACUUUAAUUGCACCCAUGAAUGUGGUUAGGUGAGGAGCUGGAGUAGCUGCUCUUAAUGGAAAACUUUUUGUAGGUGGUGGCUUUGAUGGUUCUCAUGCCAUCAGUUGUGUGGAAAUGUAUGACCCAGCUAGAAAUGAAUGGAAGAUGAUGGGGAAUAUGAUUUCGCCGAGGAGCAAAGCUGGGAUCACACCUGUUGGGAACAACAUUUAUACAGUGGGAGGAUUUGAUGCCAAUGAAUUUCUGAAUACGGUGGAAGUCUAUAGCCUCACGUUAAAUGAGUGGAGCCCUUAUACUAAGAUUUUCCAGUUUUAA
RNA transcript from Carlito syrichta (Philippine tarsier), 1059 nucleotides. It is a transcript of the gene named influenza virus NS1A-binding protein homolog pseudogene, with no coding region annotated. The record is from RefSeq and is a predicted model, not a curated record. Lineage: Eukaryota; Metazoa; Chordata; Mammalia; Primates; Tarsiidae. The transcript has a single exon.